Long non-coding RNA from Rhipicephalus sanguineus (brown dog tick), 365 nucleotides. RefSeq lists it as uncharacterized. The transcript has 4 exons. NCBI's taxonomy places the organism in Eukaryota, Metazoa, Arthropoda, Arachnida, Ixodida, Ixodidae. The record is from RefSeq and is a predicted model, not a curated record.
AAAGGUGGCCCAGUGCACCUGCUUUAGCAAGGCAAGUAGGUGUCAUUUCCUUGAAAAGCUUCAGUUCAGAAAGUGUCACGUAGAAGCCUUCAAAAGAAAAAGCAAUGCAAGUUCAUUGUAUCCUUUUUUAUACUUUGUGCAUCUCGGCAUUGUUUUGCGAUGGGAAAACAACGCCUAAAGGUGGCAAGAAUACAAAUAAAAUAGACAAGGAGAAGGCAGUAAGACUGUUGCUAAGUAACAAUGUGCUCGCCAUAAGCAGGGGAGUUUAUAGCCGGUCAGACUAUCCGCGAUGUGUGUGGUCUCGCCUGAAGUCCUCGUCUUCAGUCAAAUACAACCACAAUUUAACAUAUUUGGACACCGAUGUA